CUCAGGGUCACUCCCCCAGCAUUCCACUGGCACUGCCAGGACCUCAGCCGCUCCUCUCGCCCUGCAGGGAACUGACCCCUCUCUGCCCCUCUCUGGGGCUGGAAAUACCUCUGGGCAGCCUCCCUCCUCCAAUCCUGAGCAAGAUGCUGCUCCGGAAGUGCGGAACUUGGUAGUUCAAGUGAAAUAGCAGAUUUGCAAAAAAAUGGAAAAUGAAAAUUUUGAGCUGCCAGGCCUGGGGAAAGAAGCAGCAGGAUCCUUGCUUUCAAGACCACUGUCACCAGAUAUGCGAUCCACCAUGAGUAGCUAUUCAAGAUAAGCUUUUUAUCCAACUUUGUGGACAAAACGUCAAAAGAAGAUCAAGAAAAAGCAGAUGAGACAUUAGUUCGAGCUAUAUUUGCAAGUGGUACACCUCUUUCCAUUACUGAAAAUCAAUACGGGAAGGAACAUUGCAAACCAAUUCGCCCAUCAUAUCCAUUACCAUCCCGUUAUUGCUUAUCACAUUCUCUCUUAGAUAGAGAGUAUGACAGAGUUCAAACAAUGGUUAUUCAAAGGAUUGGUCAAGCUAAAUCACUGACUCUGAUGUCAGAUAGAUGGACUGACAUACAAAGAAAUCCUUUAUUGAACACAUUAUGUUAGCAACACCUGAACCAAUAUUCCUGAAAGCAACUGCUACCAAAUCUUCUCGUCAUAUAGGUGAAUACAUAGCCAAACUACUGAGUGAAGAGGUUGAAAAUGCAGGUCCCUACAGAGUACAAGCCCUUGUAACUGAUAAUGCGAGUAACAUGAAAGCUGCAUACAAGUAUUAAAGGCAAAGUAUCCUCAUUUAAUAGUAUUUGGCUGUCUUGCUCAUGGGUUGAAUCUUCUGGCAAAGGACAUAGUAAGUGUGAAUAAAAUGAAGACAAUAUUGGCAAACUGCAAAGUGACUGUGAAGGUACCAACAGUCAUCAUGUUGCUAAUCACACUUGGAAGAAAUUACAGAAAGAGAAGCAGGGGAAGGAAAGUGCAUUUUUAUUGCCAGGAGAAACUAUAUGGGGCUCGGCUACAAAGCGUUUACAUAGUUUGCUGCACACAAAAAGCUGUUUGCAGUGUGUUUCAAUAGAUGACACAGUAUCCCAGAUUAUUCCCCUGAACUUUCGGAAGCAGACUCUCAACAACAAUGUGUUCUGUGUUUGAGUUCAAGGAGCAUACAAUUUGCUACUACCAAUUUCAGUGGCUAUAAAGAAACUUGAAGGAAAUGCACCACGCCUUUCAAAUAUUCCAGAGAUAUUCAGACAACUGAAUUAAAGUCUAACUGAGUUUUUGCCUUCUUCACCUAUAACCAAAAAAGUAGUAGUAAAACAAAUGCUUACUAAGAGGUCUCAGUUUUGCUCUCAUCCAGCUCGUCUGGCAGCAAACCUUUUGGAUCCUCAACACAGAGGACAACAUUUAUCAGAAAAUGAAUUACCUACUGCUCUCAAUACAAUUAUGGAAGUAAGAUUAGAAUGUCCCCAACAUCGAUGCCAUAGCUGUGACGACAGACACUGCCCAGUACUGCGCAACAGAAAAACACUGGAGCAAAGACAUUAUUUGGCUGGCAGCAGAGAAUACGUCUCCCCUCACAUGGUGGAAGGGAUAUUGCAUUGCCCAACUGUUGUCCAGGACUGCUUUAAAGAAUCUAAGCAUUCCACCAACAGCAGUUUCUUGUUAACGGAACUGGAAGGCUUUCAGCUCAAUUAAGACAAAAAAGAGGAAUAGUCUAACAAACGAAUACACCACUAAGCUUGUUUUCAUUUCUCAAAAUCUCUUGCUUCUGGAAAAAUCAGUCAGAAGCACAAUUACUGAAGAAGAUGCAGUGUAAUAAAAAGUCACGCUUGCCCAUAGACUCAUUGGUAAAACCAUCCCUUAGAAAAAGAGAACAUGGUUCAAGUAGUUUUGAAUCAGAUUUGCCUCAAUCUGAUUCUGAAAUGGAACUAAUAAGUAGUGGAAGUGAUUCUACAGAUAGUGACAGUGAAACUGGAGGUGCCGCAACGACCUCUGUGAAAGAGAGUUAAAUUCUGUUGAAGUAGAUGAGUGGACAACCACGGCAUAUUGUGCACAGUUUUUUGGGUGUGCUAAAAUUAGUGUGUUAACAGUUUUCAGUGCCUCCGUUUUUCCCCUUAAAUUUAAAUAAACAAUGUAAGGGAAGUA
Alligator mississippiensis (American alligator) is the source of this 2166-nucleotide long non-coding RNA. RefSeq lists it as uncharacterized. NCBI's taxonomy places the organism in Eukaryota, Metazoa, Chordata, Crocodylia, Alligatoridae. The transcript is spliced from 2 exons. The record is from RefSeq and is a predicted model, not a curated record.